UUACCGAGUUUUCACUCCCUAACCCUUCUGUGAACCUACCUAUCGUUGCUUCGGCGGACUCGCCCCAGCCCGGACGCGGACUGGACCAGCGGCCCGCCGGGGACCUCAAACUCUUGUAUUCCAGCAUCUUCUGAAUACGCCGCAAGGCAAAACAAAUGAAUCAAAACUUUCAACAACGGAUCUCUUGGCUCUGGCAUCGAUGAAGAACGCAGCGAAAUGCGAUAAGUAAUGUGAAUUGCAGAAUCCAGUGAAUCAUCGAAUCUUUGAACGCACAUUGCGCCCGCCAGCAUUCUGGCGGGCAUGCCUGUUCGAGCGUCAUUUCAACCCUCGACCUCCCCUGGGGGAGGUCGGCGUUGGGGACCGGCAGCACACCGCCGGCCCUGAAAUGGAGUGGCGGCCCGUCCGCGGCGACCUCUGCGUAGUAAUACAGCUCGCACCGGAACCCCGACGCGGCCACGCCGUAAAACACCCAACUUCUGAACGUUGACCUCGAAUCAGGUAGGACUACCCGCUGAACUUAAGCAUAUCAAUAAGCGAAGGAAAAGAAACCAACAGGGAUUGCCCCAGUAACGGCGAGUGAAGCGGCAACAGCUCAAAUUUGAAAUCUGGCUCUCAGGGCCCGAGUUGUAAUUUGUAGAGGAUGCUUUUGGCGAGGUGCCUUCCGAGUUCCCUGGAACGGGACGCCACAGAGGGUGAGAGCCCCGUAUGGUCGGACACCGAGCCUCUGUAAAGCUCCUUCGACGAGUCGAGUAGUUUGGGAAUGCUGCUCAAAAUGGGAGGUAUAUGUCUUCUAAAGCUAAAUAUUGGCCAGAGACCGAUAGCGCACAAGUAGAGUGAUCGAAAGAUGAAAAGCACUUUGAAAAGAGGGUUAAAAAGUACGUGAAAUUGUUGAAAGGGAAGCGCCUAUGACCAGACUUGCGCCCGGUGAAUCACCCAGCGUUCUCGCUGGUGCACUUUGCCGGGCACAGGCCAGCAUCAGUUCAGCGCGGGGGAGAAAGGCUUCGGGAAUGUGGCUCCCUCGGGAGUGUUAUAGCCCGCUGCGUAAUGCCCUGCGCCGG
This 1058-nucleotide ribosomal RNA is filed under the name Beauveria sp. B1A0902EM2CC446. RNAcentral's name for it is "eukaryotic LSU rRNA". The stretch from base 485 to 1058 matches the Rfam family "Eukaryotic large subunit ribosomal RNA", at positions 1 to 584 of the family's 3401-position model. Lineage: Eukaryota; Fungi; Ascomycota; Sordariomycetes; Hypocreales; Cordycipitaceae. The record is from RNAcentral.